Molecule: ribosomal RNA, 207 nt
Filed under: uncultured bacterium
Lineage: Bacteria
Description: partial 16S ribosomal RNA
Rfam family: Bacterial small subunit ribosomal RNA
Source: RNAcentral
CGUGUAGGCGGCUAGGUAAGUGGAAUGUGAAAUCCCUCGGCUCACCCGAGGACCUGCAUCCCAAACUGCCUGGCUUGAGUAUGGGAGAGGAUGAGGGAAUUCCUGGUGUAGCGGUGAAAUGCGUAGAUAUCAGGAGGAACACCGGUGGCGAAGGCGCUCAUCUGGCCCAAUACUGACGCUGAGGCGCGAAAGCUAGGGGAGCGAACG